GGUCGCUCGAAUAUAAAAAGGGGGAAACGACCUAACUUCGAAAUCAUCUACUUGAUCUUAUCUGAGCAGAAAGGAGCCGCUGCUAACUUCUCAAUGGCGACAAUCUCACUAGUUUUGACCGAAAUCCGAGUGUCCUGUUAAGAUGUUGCCCGCCUGUGUCUUCGCAGGUGCUCUGGUAGCGUUUUCUCCGGCCUCCGUUUUGAGCUUCUCUAAUGGGUGCCUUGAGAUCUUCUGUGUUGCUUCGCUGCGAUGAAGACUGCCUGCGGUCAGAGUCCCAUAAUCUACACUGUUAGAGGGACUAUGAUGGACUCGCGGGCUCCCCCCAUUCUACUAUUAGUUUUUUGUUUUUUCGAUUACUUUUUUUUUGUUUUUUCGAUUCUGUUUUUUUGUUUUAAAGAAAUUUGUUUUCCUUUAAUCUUGUGUUUAGGUUGGUUUUCUAGCUUACUUUGCAAAGUUUAUUACUUAUUCUUUUAAUUUUCACAUACGACCGUUUUUUCUGUUCUAUGUUAUAUGGAUCGAGAUGCGCAGUUUUGUUUUUUUAGUAAAGAUUCUGUUGAUGAGUAUUGUUUGAGUGAUUGUUAGCAGGUAUAUUGUUGGUUUAGUUCUUUGCGCGUUGAUUGUGCCAACAGAAACCCUAUGACCUAAUUUUUUAAGCUAAUGUUUCAGGGGCGUCGGUUAAACACAUGCAAACCUCAAAUCUCAAAUCAGGUGGCCUUUUCAGUACCAUGUUAUCCGGGAAACUCCACAUACAUCUGAAACCUUAUCUGGAAACUCCAGAUCAGGGUUUUGUUUAGAUUUUGCAAAUUGAAAUUACUUUACUAUGUUUCAGUUUCAGGGGUGUCGGUUAAACACAUGCAAAUCUCAAAUCAGGGUUAUGUUUAGAUUUUACAAAUUGAAAUUACUUUACUAUGUUUCAGGGUUGUGGAUUAAACACAUGCAACAAAGGUCUAAGUCCAUUAUGAGGAAUUAUACCUAUGAUUUGAUUAGAAAUGCUAGGAUUGACCCCGAGGGCAAUGGGGAUUGGAGUUCGGACACUUGCCAGAAGCUUUUCAGAAAGCAUGUAGUCAUUUAUUUUCAUUUUGUUUGAAAUGUGAUUCUUGAUAUUCACUAUAUGCAGUUGUUGCUGUUAAAACAGUAGACACUUGAACAGUAAUUUUUAUGAAAAAUAUUGCAAAUGUAAGUUCUGUUUUGUUUAUAA
Molecule: long non-coding RNA, 1198 nt
Organism: Papaver somniferum (opium poppy)
Lineage: Eukaryota; Viridiplantae; Streptophyta; Magnoliopsida; Ranunculales; Papaveraceae
Exons: 2
Source: RefSeq, a predicted model, not a curated record